This 232-nucleotide ribosomal RNA is filed under the name uncultured bacterium. RNAcentral describes it as "partial 16S ribosomal RNA". It matches the Rfam family "Bacterial small subunit ribosomal RNA", at positions 86 to 334 of the family's 1533-position model. The record is from RNAcentral.
CCGGGGUCAGCGGCAGACGGGUGAGUAACGCGUGGGAACGUGCCCUUCGGUUCGGAAUAACUCAGGGAAACUUGAGCUAAUACCGGAUACGUGCGAGAGCAGAAAGGUUUAUCUGCCGAAGGAUCGGCCCGCGUCUGAUUAGCUAGUUGGUGAGGUUAUGGCUCACCAAGGCGACGAUCAGUAGCUGGUCUGAGAGGACGACCAGCCACACUGGGACUGAGACACGGCCCAG